This 613-nucleotide long non-coding RNA is filed under the name Phasianus colchicus (ring-necked pheasant). Its description in RNAcentral is "lncRNA (ENSPCLG00000002698.1)". Lineage: Eukaryota; Metazoa; Chordata; Aves; Galliformes; Phasianidae. The record is from RNAcentral.
CCCUGCUUCUGGCAGUUCUUCCAGUGCUGCCAGGUGUUUGUUGCUUCACACCAGUACCAACCUACCUGUCUGAGUGUCUACAGCUUCCAAUGUUACUGUAACUGGGCAAGCAAGGACGAAGCAGAACUAAACGCCUCUAUGUGAUCACCAUCAAAAUUGAAUUUGGAGGUUCAAAACCAUACCACUAGCAGGAAUGACAGCAGUAUGAAUGUACUCUGCCUUUAGAGAGAAUGCCACUAGAGAGCAAGAAAGAGGAGAAGUGCUGGUCAUCUUCACUUACUCUGUGUGAGGAGAUGUCUUUGUUCUUCAGAUGCAACAAAGUCAGGAGAAGAGAGGCAAAGAUAAACCCACAUUCGUUUUUGAAAAUGCAGGCUGACUUGCUUUGCCCAGUUCUUCCUUGCAGAUGUUGUUGCGUUAGACUGCAAGCUCCGUCUUGAUUACAGUGAGCUCUAGUUCAUUGACUGCACCCUUUGAUCAUUCUUAGGUAGAAUGCUCUUGUGCCUGCAGCUCUAAGUGCAAUCUCAGGAGCUCAGACAUGUAUAGCACAUGGCUUGACAGAGCCUGCAAUAGCAUUUUUAAAGAGAGAAUAAAGUCCUAAUUCAGAAAAUACGCA